RNAcentral lists this microRNA precursor (70 nucleotides) under Anopheles darlingi. RNAcentral describes it as "mir-965 microRNA precursor family". It matches the Rfam family "mir-965 microRNA precursor family". The record is from Rfam by way of RNAcentral. Lineage: Eukaryota; Metazoa; Arthropoda; Insecta; Diptera; Culicidae.
UUCUGAAUGGGAAUGGUUGUGCGCUCUAUGUGCUAUGAAAUCAUAAGCGUAUAGCUUUUCCCAUUUAGCG